CAAAACCCUAGAUUCUCCAUGUGCUGUCUGUCUUUGCUCCAUUGCUUGCUUUUUAACAUCAAUUAAGGGUUUAUCUCAUAUGUUAUUAUUGAAUCAAUUUCAGUUGACAUCUUUCUUUAAUUUGUAUAUUUUAAUAAUUUCUUAAUUUUUCAGCAAUUAAUAAAUGUUAUUUUAAACUUCUGGUUUUCUUCGAAAAACCUGAAAUCGUCUCUGAUGAAUUCUCUUGCCCUUCGGGCUAGAGGGAACUCUUUCUUGGCUAGAGUAUAGGCUUGUUUCCCUACGUAUUUUCUAGUAUUGGUUAUAGAUAUCUUUUUAAUUUGUGUGGUUUUACAAAUUACGUGAUUUUUGGGAAGGACUUUUGUUUCUUUGAUCUGUG
Molecule: unclassified non-coding RNA, 376 nt
Filed under: Hevea brasiliensis (rubber tree)
Lineage: Eukaryota; Viridiplantae; Streptophyta; Magnoliopsida; Malpighiales; Euphorbiaceae
Source: RNAcentral